GUCAUCUUUUGGACUUUAUCAUAGGUUUCUGGAUGUAGUUUGAUUUCUAAUUAACCUCAAAAUUAUUGUCUUCUUAAUUUAUAUUAUUUACAAGGUAAAUUUGCACUAUUUUGUCGUCAACUUCUAGCCCUCUAACGUGUAUACUUAAUGAAAUUAAUCUUUGUAGAUUUAUCCCUUUUUUUUUGUUUUUUGUGAUAGACAAUUAAACUGAGACAAAAUAAAAGAUAUUUAAUUAGCUUGGUAGGCCACGAAUUAAAUAAGACGAAACGUUUUAAUCAAAUGAAGAACUUUAAACCUGUUCUUAAAUAUUUAUAGGCAACCCAUAAAUUUCUAAUUUGACCCUAACUCUAACCCGGAUGAAGAGAUGGAUUGCUAGAUCAAUUGUUCAACCACUAUCGACAUCCAAGAUCACAUAAUUAAUGUCUCCUUACUUGGCCAUUUUAACUAUACGAAUUCUUGAUUUAUCUAUAAAUUAAUUGGUUUAUUGUGCUGACAAUGGAAGUAAUUUAUUGAGUCCAUGUUUGACAAAGCUUUUGAGAUAACCAUUGUGCUACAUGUAUAUGAUAAUUUACAUAUAUACGAUGUGGUGAAAUAUGAUUGGACAUAUAAACCAUUAUGUAAUUACAUUACGUACAAAAAACAUUAUUCUUGAGAUUAUAAGCUUGUGGUCCCGUGGGCUAAGUUUGAUUAAUACCCUGAUUCUACUAUGAAAUAGAUAUCCGGUCUUGAUCACUUAUAGGAGAAAAACGUUGAGCACUUUUCAUUAUAAUAUUUUCCUUUAAAAUUUAACAUCAUUAAUUUAAGCAUUAUUAUCCAAUUGAUAUUAUAUUCUUGAAGACUUUAGACGACCCAGGAUCGAUCAGACGGGUUUUAUUACCCGAUUGAGAUAAAUUUUCUUAAAGACUAGAACAUUCAGAAAAUGAGCAAACGGUGAAAAAUAAUAAAACCUUAAGUCAAAUAUUAUGAGAUUAAUUUGAAAUGUGUUAAGAAAUUAAACGAGUACUUGAGGAAUUUAGAUAUUUGGUGUGGGGAGAAUUUCUCUUUUGUGUGGUUAUUUUACUCGUCAUAUGUUUCUAGCU
RNAcentral lists this long non-coding RNA (1079 nucleotides) under Olea europaea subsp. europaea. Lineage: Eukaryota; Viridiplantae; Streptophyta; Magnoliopsida; Lamiales; Oleaceae. The record is from RNAcentral.